AUGCUUAGGAAUCUGCCUAUUAGUGGGGGACAACAUCUCGAAAGGGAUGCUAAUACCGCAUACGUCCUACGGGAGAAAGCAGGGGAUCUUCGGACCUUGCGCUAAUAGAUGAGCCUAAGUCGGAUUAGCUAGUUGGUGGGGUAAAGGCCUACCAAGGCGACGAUCUGUAGCGGGUCUGAGAGGAUGAUCCGCCACACUGGGACUGAGACACGGCCCAGACUCCUACGGGAGGCAGCAGUGGGGAAUAUUGGACAAUGGGGGGAACCCUGAUCCAGCCAUGCCGCGUGUGUGAAGAAGGCCUUAUGGUUGUAAAGCACU
RNAcentral lists this ribosomal RNA (318 nucleotides) under Acinetobacter baumannii. Its description in RNAcentral is "bacterial SSU rRNA". It matches the Rfam family "Bacterial small subunit ribosomal RNA", at positions 113 to 434 of the family's 1533-position model. The record is from RNAcentral. Lineage: Bacteria; Pseudomonadati; Pseudomonadota; Gammaproteobacteria; Moraxellales; Moraxellaceae.